UACGUAGGGUGCGAGCGUUGUCCGGAAUUACUGGGCGUAAAGAGCUCGUAGGUGGUUUGUCGCGUCGUCUGUGAAAUUCCGGGGCUUAACUCCGGGCGUGCAGGCGAUACGGGCUGACUUGAGUGCUGUAGGGGAGACUGGAAUUCCUGGUGUAGCGGUGAAAUGCGCAGAUAUCAGGAGGAACACCGAUGGCGAAGGCAGGUCUCUGGGCAGUUACUGACGCUGAGGAGCGAAAGCAUGGGUAGCGAACAGG
Molecule: ribosomal RNA, 253 nt
Filed under: uncultured bacterium
Lineage: Bacteria
Description: partial 16S ribosomal RNA
Rfam family: Bacterial small subunit ribosomal RNA
Source: RNAcentral